RNAcentral lists this ribosomal RNA (545 nucleotides) under Sporisorium sp. DMKU-SP112. RNAcentral's name for it is "LSU rRNA". It matches the Rfam family "Eukaryotic large subunit ribosomal RNA", at positions 117 to 643 of the family's 3401-position model. Lineage: Eukaryota; Fungi; Basidiomycota; Ustilaginomycetes; Ustilaginales; Ustilaginaceae. The record is from RNAcentral.
GAAAGCUGGCGUCUUCGGCGUCCGCAUUGUAAUCUCAAGAAGUGUUUUCCGCUUCGGACCAUGCCUAAGUCCCUUGGAAAAGGGCAUCAUAGAGGGUGAUAAUCCCGUACAUGGCAUGGAGCGCCCGAGGCUUUGUGAUACGCUUUCUAAGAGUCGAGUUGUUUGGGAAUGCAGCUCAAAAUGGGUGGUAAAUGCCAUCUAAGGCUAAAUAUUGGGGAGAGACCGAUAGCGAACAAGUACAGUGAUGGAAAGAUGAAAAGAACUUUGAAAAGAGAGUUAAACAGUACGUGAAAUUGCCAAAAGGGAAGGGUAGGAGGUCAGAGAUGCGUCUUGGGAUUCAGCCUUGCUUUUGCUUGGUGUUUUUCCCAAGUUGCAGGCCAACGUCGGUUUUGGGCACUGGAGAAGGGUGGAAGGAACGUGGCACCUCUCGGGGUGUGUUAUAGCCUUCUACUGGAUACAGCGACCGAGACCGAGGACAGCAGCGUACUCGCAAGAGCGGGCCUUCGGGCACCUUUACGCUUAGGGCGUUGGCAUAAUGGCCCUCU